GGCUGCUGGGGAAAGUUCAGGCCCGGAGAUCUUCCCCCAAGCAAGUGGCCUUUCCGCUCAAGGUAGACAGGCUGGGGAGGAAGGAGGCAUACAUUCUGAAAGACUGGCCCACUCUGGGGAAGACUGGCAUGAGGAGAAAUGACUGAAGGCUCAGGGUGUCUAGAGUCCAGGAGCAGGCUGCUCCAGAAAACUGACAAGAAAUGUCUCUUGAUGCUGGGCUGGCAUCUCGGUAUGGUGGCGGAAACUUUACUGUGGCAACUGCCCAGAAGAGCAAUUUAUGGGCUCUGUGCCGUGCCUAAGCUUCCUGCAUCGCCAGUUUUGCCUCCUUACGGCUAUGGUGAUUGGUAUGUACUGUUAUUUGGAAUUGUCGUGGUAAGUACCUCCCCAGCUCAAUUCCACUCACACAACCACAGAUAACCAGGCCAAAACAGAAGUACCCAGGAGAUUCUUAACAUCCAAGGCCAAGAGCACCUCGCCGGGACGCCAUGUUUAAGCGAUUCAAGUGGCUGGUGGUGGUGGGCCACACUCAACUUAGCACUGGGACACUGAGGUAGCUCAGUCAUGGUGAAGCUGAAGCCAGCCUGGGUAUUUAGUGCGACCUUGUCUCAAAGUCCUCUCACCUCCACCCCAUCCCCACACAAACAGACCAAAGUAAAGAGAGUAUUCAGUCAGGGUACAUGGAUGGGUGUUUUCUGUGUUAAUUCUUAAAACACCAGACUCAUUUGUAAAUGUUUAAGUGUGCAACAUUUCCAAGAUUACUCUGCCAUUUCCUUUUGGAAGGAUUCCUGAAUUCACAUGCCCAGUGCCCCAGUUAAUCUGUGCCAGCUGCAUACACCUACCAAGGCUCAAAGCAUGCUGGGUCGACUCAGACCGCAGGCUUAUCACACUGGGUUCCAAGUCUUUGUUACUUGUCUGACUGUCCAAUUACACUGAGCUCCUCAAAGGCAGAGACUGUUCUGAUUCAGUCAGCAAAACAUAUUCAUUAUGAAGGAUCACUGAGUGGCUUUUGUUCUGUGGAAUCUGGGUAAGCACUCUCUUGCCUCAGAAAGAGAAUUGUGUCUAAUUGCUGACACUCAUAAGCAGCCAUAGGGUUCAAGUAGAGGAUCUGUGAGCCUCUUCAAGUAUGAUUAUGCCUUUCAGCUUUUGUUUAUUUAUUUUUAGUUCCUUCUGGUUCCUGACUCUUACCUUCAG
This 1191-nucleotide small RNA is filed under the name Rattus norvegicus (Norway rat). RNAcentral describes it as "uncharacterized LOC108350091". Lineage: Eukaryota; Metazoa; Chordata; Mammalia; Rodentia; Muridae. The record is from RNAcentral.